CAGCCGCCGCGGGAAUACGUAGGUCCCGAGCGUUGUCCGGAUUUAUUGGGCGUAAAGCGAGCGCAGGCGGUUAGAUAAGUCUGAAGUUAAAGGCUGUGGCUUAACCAUAGUACGCUUUGGAAACUGUUUAACUUGAGUGCAAGAGGGGAGAGUGGAAUUCCAUGUGUAGCGGUGAAAUGCGUAGAUAUAUGGAGGAACACCGGUGGCGAAAGCGGCUCUCUGGUCUGUCACUGACGCUGAGGCUCGAGAGCGUGGGUAGCGAACAGGAUUAGAGACCCCUGUAGUCCCUGUCUCUUAUACA
RNAcentral lists this ribosomal RNA (301 nucleotides) under uncultured bacterium. RNAcentral describes it as "partial 16S ribosomal RNA". It matches the Rfam family "Bacterial small subunit ribosomal RNA", at positions 509 to 808 of the family's 1533-position model. The record is from RNAcentral.